RNAcentral lists this ribosomal RNA (468 nucleotides) under uncultured bacterium. RNAcentral's name for it is "partial 16S ribosomal RNA". It matches the Rfam family "Bacterial small subunit ribosomal RNA", at positions 28 to 507 of the family's 1533-position model. The record is from RNAcentral.
GACGAACGCUGGCGGCGUGCUUAACACAUGCAAGUCGAACGGAAAGGCCCUGCUUUUGCGGGGUGCUCGAGUGGCGAACGGGUGUGUAACACGUGAGUAACCUGCCCUUGACUUUGGGAUAACUUCAGGAAACUGGGGCUAAUACCGGAUAGGAGCUCCUGCUGCAUGGUGGGGGUUGGAAAGUUUCGGCGGUUGGGGAUGGACUCGCGGCUUAUCAGCUUGUUGGUGGGGUAGUGGCUUACCAAGGCUUUGACGGGUAGCCGGCCUGGGAGGGUGACCGGGCACAUUGGGCCUGAGAUACGGCCCAGACUCCUACGGGAGGCAGCAGUGGGGAAUAUUGCACAAUGGGCGGAAGCCUGAUGCAGCAACGCCGCGUGCGGGAUGACGGCCUUCGGGGUGUGAACCGCUUUCGCCUGUGACGAAGCGUGAGUGACGGUAAUGGGUAAAGAAGCACCGGCUAACUACGUG